UGGAGCAUGUGGUUUAAUUCGAAGCAACGCGAAGAACCUUACCAGGUCUUGACAUCCCGAUGCUAUUUCUUAGAGAUAGAAAGUUACUUCGUACAUCGGUGACAGGUGGUGCAUGGUUGUCGUCAGCUCGUGUCGUGAGAUGUUGGGUUAAGUCCCGCAACGAGCGCAACCCCUAUUGUUAGUUGCCAUCAUCCAGUUGGGCACUCUAGCGAGACUGCCGGUAAUAAACCGGAGGAAGUGGGGAUGACGUCAAAUCAUCAUGCCCCUUAUGACCUGGGCUACACACGUGCUACAAUGGUUGGUACAACGAGUUGCGAGUCGGUGACGGCGAGCUAAUCUCUUAAAGCCAAUCUCAGUUCGGAUUGUAGGCUGCAACUCGCCUACAUGAAGUCGGAAUCGCUAGUAAUCGCGGAUCAGCACGCCGCGGUGAAUACGUUCCCGGGCCUU
Molecule: ribosomal RNA, 447 nt
Filed under: uncultured Streptococcus sp.
Lineage: Bacteria; Bacillati; Bacillota; Bacilli; Lactobacillales; Streptococcaceae
Description: bacterial SSU rRNA
Rfam family: Bacterial small subunit ribosomal RNA
Source: RNAcentral